Cervus elaphus (red deer) is the source of this 174-nucleotide long non-coding RNA. RefSeq lists it as uncharacterized. The transcript has 3 exons. The record is from RefSeq and is a predicted model, not a curated record. Lineage: Eukaryota; Metazoa; Chordata; Mammalia; Artiodactyla; Cervidae.
UCUUUCUGACUUACUUCACUCUGCAUAUAUAAUAGGCUCUAAGUUCAUCUACCUCAUUAGAACUGACUCAAAUGCGUUCCUUUUAUAGCUGAGUCAUAUAUUCCAUUGUGUAUAUGUACCGCAUCUUCCUUAUCCCUUCAUCUGGUGAUGGACAUCUGGGUUGCCUCCCUGUCC